Molecule: ribosomal RNA, 1017 nt
Filed under: uncultured organism
Description: bacterial SSU rRNA
Rfam family: Bacterial small subunit ribosomal RNA
Source: RNAcentral
UGAGGAAUAUUGGUCAAUGGACGAGAGUCUGAACCAGCCAAGUAGCGUGAAGGAUAACUGCCCUAUGGGUUGUAAACUUCUUUUAUACGGGAAUAAAGUUAGCCACGUGUGGCUUUUUGUAUGUACCGUAUGAAUAAGGAUCGGCUAACUCCGUGCCAGCAGCCGCGGUAAUACGGAGGAUCCGAGCGUUAUCCGGAUUUAUUGGGUUUAAAGGGAGCGUAGGCGGGUUGUUAAGUCAGUUGUGAAAGUUUGCGGCUCAACCGUAAAAUUGCAGUUGAUACUGGCGACCUUGAGUGCAACAGAGGUAGGCGGAAUUCGUGGUGUAGCGGUGAAAUGCUUAGAUAUCACGAAGAACUCCGAUUGCGAAGGCAGCUUACUGGAUUGUAACUGACGCUGAUGCUCGAAAGUGUGGGUAUCAAACAGGAUUAGAUACCCUGGUAGUCCACACAGUAAACGAUGAAUACUCGCUGUUGGCGAUAUACGGUCAGCGGCCAAGCGAAAGCAUUAAGUAUUCCACCUGGGGAGUACGCCGGCAACGGUGAAACUCAAAGGAAUUGACGGGGGCCCGCACAAGCGGAGGAACAUGUGGUUUAAUUCGAUGAUACGCGAGGAACCUUACCCGGGCUUAAAUUGCAACUGACUGAACCGGAAACGGUUCUUUCUUCGGACAGUUGUGAAGGUGCUGCAUGGUUGUCGUCAGCUCGUGCCGUGAGGUGUCGGCUUAAGUGCCAUAACGAGCGCAACCCUUAUCGAUAGUUACUAGCAGGUCAUGCUGAGGACUCUAUUGAGACUGCCGUCGUAAGAUGUGAGGAAGGUGGGGAUGACGUCAAAUCAGCACGGCCCUUACGUCCGGGGCUACACACGUGUUACAAUGGGGGGUACAGAAGGCAGCUACACGGCGACGUGGUGCUAAUCCCGAAAGCCUCUCUCAGUUCGGAUUGGAGUCUGCAACCCGACUCCAUGAAGCUGGAUUCGCUAGUAAUCGCGCAUCAGCCACGGCGCGGUGAAUACGUUCCC